UCUGAUGGUCUUUGAUCAUCCGAGUUGUAAUCUARAGAAGUGUCUUCCGCGCCGGACCAUGCAUAAGUCUCCUGGAACGGAGCGUCAUAGAGGGUGAGAAUCCCGUCUUUGGCAUGGAACCUCCCGGGGCUUCUGUGAUGCACUCUCGAAGAGUCGAGUUGUUUGGGAAUGCAGCUCAAAAUGGGUGGUGAACUCCAUCUAAAGCUAAACAUUGGCGAGAGACCGAUAGCGAACAAGUACCGUGAGGGAAAGAUGAAAAGCACUUUGGAAAGAGAGUGAAACAGUACGUGAAAUUGUUGAAAGGGAAACGCUUGGAGUCAGUCACGUCGACCGAGACUCAUCCAUUGCCCCUUUGGGCUUGGUGUACUUCUCGGCUGAUGGGCCAGCAUCAAUUUUGUCCCUCAGAUAAUGGCAGGGGAAAGGUGGCACCCUUAUGGGUGUGUUAUAGUCCCCUGUCGCAUGUGAGGGAUGGGAUUGAGGAACUCAGCACGCGCCUCUUGGUGUCCGGGGCUUUGGCCCACGCUUACGUGCUUAGGAUGCUGGCAUAAUGGCUCUAAACGACCCGUCUUGAAACACGGACCAAGGAGUCUAACAUGCCUGCAAGUGUUCGGGUGGAAAACCCGUGUGCGAAAUGAAAGUGAAAGUUGGGACCUCUGUCGUGGAGGGCACCGACGCCCGGACCAGACCUUCUGUGACGGAUCUGCGGUAGAGCAUGCAUG
This 719-nucleotide ribosomal RNA is filed under the name Lactifluus sp. RNAcentral describes it as "partial large subunit ribosomal RNA". RNAcentral also lists the same sequence under 1 other name. Lineage: Eukaryota; Fungi; Basidiomycota; Agaricomycetes; Russulales; Russulaceae. The record is from RNAcentral.